GAUGAACGCUGGCGGCGUGCCUAAUACAUGCAAGUCGAGCGAACAGACGAGGAGCUUGCUCCUCUGACGUUAGCGGCGGACGGGUGAGUAACACGUGGAUAACCUACCUAUAAGACUGGGAUAACUUCGGGAAACCGGAGCUAAUACCGGAUAAUAUAUUGAACCGCAUGGUUCAAUAGUGAAAGACGGUUUUGCUGUCACUUAUAGAUGGAUCCGCGCCGCAUUAGCUAGUUGGUAAGGUAACGGCUUACCAAGGCAACGAUGCGUAGCCGACCUGAGAGGGUGAUCGGCCACAUUGGAACUGAGACACGGUCCAGACUCCUACGGGAGGCAGCAGUAGGGAAUCUUCCGCAAUGGGCGAAAGCCUGACGGAGCAAGGCCGCGUGAGUGAUGAAGGUCUUCGGAUCGUAAAACUCUGUUAUUAGGGAAGAACAAAUGUGUAAGUAACUAUGCACGUCUUGACGGUACCUAAUCAGAAAGCCACGGCUAACUACGUG
Molecule: ribosomal RNA, 497 nt
Filed under: uncultured bacterium
Lineage: Bacteria
Description: partial 16S ribosomal RNA
Rfam family: Bacterial small subunit ribosomal RNA
Source: RNAcentral